This is a non-coding RNA of Pelobates cultripes (western spadefoot toad), 470 nucleotides long. NCBI's taxonomy places the organism in Eukaryota, Metazoa, Chordata, Amphibia, Anura, Pelobatidae. The record is from the annotation of a GenBank genome assembly.
AUCUUUGUGUAUGUCCUUAUGUGUGUGUCUAUAUGUGCAUAUCUGUGGUUCUAUCACUUUGUAUCUGUGUGUCACAGUGUGCAUCUUAAAGUGUCAGUGUGUGUGCCAGUGUAUAUAUUUCUUUGUGUAUAUCUCUGUAUGUUUUGGUGUAAUCUGACUGUGUGUGGCUGUGUGCAUUUGUAUGUGUUUUGUAGUGUAUAUCAGUGUGUGUAUGUCUGGCAGUGUGUAUUUUUAUCCUUGUGUGUGUCUAUGAAAGUGUGCCUCUGUAUGGAAGCUGAGAAUCUGUAUCAAUGUUUGUUUUAGUGUAUCCAUAUGUACAAAUUUGUGUCUGUGUGCAUGUCUGGGAGUGUGCGUCAGAUGGACGCUGCAAAAUUGAUUUGUAAGUGGCUCCACUAUAUCUGAUAGCAGUUUAACUUUUGAUCAUCCCUGGUGAGUAAUUUAUACUAUUUAAUAAUGGACUUAAAUGAAAC